RNAcentral lists this transfer RNA (87 nucleotides) under marine eukaryotic metagenome. It matches the Rfam family "tRNA". From Rfam's summary of the family: Transfer RNA (tRNA) molecules are approximately 80 nucleotides in length. Their secondary structure includes four short double-helical elements and three loops (D, anti-codon, and T loops). The record is from RNAcentral.
GAGAGAUGGCUGAGUGGUCGAAAGCGCUCCCCUGCUAAGGGAGUAUCUGCCUAAAAGUGGAUCGAGGGUUCGAAUCCCUCUCUCUCC